CCUACGGGAUGCAGCAGUGGGGAAUAUUGGGCAAUGGGCGCAAGCCUGACCCAGCAACGCCGCGUGAAGGAAGAAGGCCCUCGGGUUGUAAACUUCUUUUAUUCGGGACGAAACAAAUACCGGUACCUAAUGAAUAAGCCCCGGCUAACUACGUGCCCGCAGACGCGGUACUACGUAGGUGGCAAGCGUGAGCCGGAUGUACUGGGUGUAAAGGGCGUGUAGGCGGGAGUGCAAGUCAGACGGGAACUUCCCGGGCUCAACCCUGGAACUGCGUUUGAAACUGUUCUUCUUGAGUGAUGGAGAUGCAGGCGGAAUUCCGUGUGUAGCGGUGAAAUGCGUAGAUAUACGGAGGAACACCAGUGGCGAAGGCGGCCUGCUGGACAUUAACUGACGCUGAGGCGCGAAAGCGUGGGGAGCAAACAGGAUUAGAUACCCGAGUAGUC
RNAcentral lists this ribosomal RNA (443 nucleotides) under uncultured bacterium. RNAcentral's name for it is "partial 16S ribosomal RNA". It matches the Rfam family "Bacterial small subunit ribosomal RNA", at positions 338 to 795 of the family's 1533-position model. The record is from RNAcentral.